GCGAUUGUGGCGAAGUGGUUAACGCAUCAUGAAUUGUGAUUGCCGGCAUUCGUGGGUUCAAUUCCCAUCAGUCGCCCCA
RNAcentral lists this transfer RNA (79 nucleotides) under Exiguobacterium sp. SL14. RNAcentral describes it as "tRNA-Phe". It matches the Rfam family "tRNA". From Rfam's summary of the family: Transfer RNA (tRNA) molecules are approximately 80 nucleotides in length. Their secondary structure includes four short double-helical elements and three loops (D, anti-codon, and T loops). Further hydrogen bonds mediate the characteristic L-shaped molecular structure. tRNAs have two regions of fundamental functional importance: the anti-codon, which is responsible for specific mRNA codon recognition, and the 3' end, to which the tRNAs corresponding amino acid is attached (by aminoacyl-tRNA synthetases). tRNAs cope with the degeneracy of the genetic code in two manners: having more than one tRNA (with a specific anti-codon) for a particular amino acid; and 'wobble' base-pairing, i.e. permitting non-standard base-pairing at the 3rd anti-codon position. The record is from RNAcentral. Lineage: Bacteria; Bacillati; Bacillota; Bacilli; Caryophanales.